CGGGCCAAAUCAUAUGCAACAGUUCCAAUAGCAGCCUGAAAUGGCAAUUAUAAAGUAAGAGUUAAACAAUGUUACCACUGAUACAAAUAGAUGACCAUCGUAUAGCACACAUUUUUGGACAAGUUAGUAAGUUUAUACUGGGUCCAAUUUUCAACACCCUUGGUAAUAACUGUAAUCAUCAGUACAAAAUAUCCUUCUAUAACUUUUUCAACUUUGUAGUGCUGUUUUUAUAAUGAUAGUUAGCUACACAUUCUAGUAAACCAUCUUAAAAACUACAGAUCAUUACAAUUAUAGAUAACUAAAAUAACUCUGCUUUCAAUAAGGAAAAGAAACAAAUGUGAUGCUAAAAGCUACAGAUGUAGAAGCAGAUAAGCAAUAAAGUAAGUGAUUACUUUCUCCAUUGUAGUCAUUGUGUGUUGUUUGUUUUUUUGUAAAUAAUACAACGUAAAAAAAAAUAAAUAAAUUUUUUUAUUAAAAAGCACAAAAAGAAAAGAAAAAAAAGCUCGUUGGGUGUGUGUUAAGUUUUAAUGUAAGCAGUUGUUUUUAAAUAUUUAUCUCUGCCACAAUGUCAGUAUAAAUAGAAACGAUAUUUUUAGUUGACAUUGCGUUAAUUAAGUUUAAGUGUUAAAACUUAGAAGCCAUAAGUCUGACAAUGCUAGACAAAACACAUUGACCUGAACUGUUGCUUUUGGUAGCC
This is a non-coding RNA of Biomphalaria pfeifferi, 697 nucleotides long. The record is from the annotation of a GenBank genome assembly. NCBI's taxonomy places the organism in Eukaryota, Metazoa, Mollusca, Gastropoda, Planorbidae.